Molecule: transfer RNA, 91 nt
Filed under: Malassezia restricta CBS 7877
Lineage: Eukaryota; Fungi; Basidiomycota; Malasseziomycetes; Malasseziales; Malasseziaceae
Description: tRNA-Tyr
Rfam family: tRNA
About the family: Transfer RNA (tRNA) molecules are approximately 80 nucleotides in length. Their secondary structure includes four short double-helical elements and three loops (D, anti-codon, and T loops).
Source: RNAcentral
UGCCCGUAUGGCGCAGUGGUUAACGCACUCCACUUGUAUUGUGGACUCUGGUACAUGGAGAGAUCCCUCGUUCGACUCGGGGUGCGGGCAU